RNAcentral lists this non-coding RNA (71 nucleotides) under Bacillus cereus. Its description in RNAcentral is "partial 16S ribosomal RNA". It matches the Rfam family "Bacterial small subunit ribosomal RNA", at positions 1463 to 1533 of the family's 1533-position model. Lineage: Bacteria; Bacillati; Bacillota; Bacilli; Caryophanales; Bacillaceae. RNAcentral also lists the same sequence under 6 other names. The record is from RNAcentral.
UGGGACAGAUGAUUGGGGUGAAGUCGUAACAAGGUAGCCGUAUCGGAAGGUGCGGCUGGAUCACCUCCUUU